This 252-nucleotide ribosomal RNA is filed under the name uncultured Bacteroidales bacterium. Its description in RNAcentral is "partial 16S ribosomal RNA". It matches the Rfam family "Bacterial small subunit ribosomal RNA", at positions 524 to 776 of the family's 1533-position model. Lineage: Bacteria; Pseudomonadati; Bacteroidota; Bacteroidia; Bacteroidales. The record is from RNAcentral.
UACGGAGGAUGCGAGCGUUAUCCGGAUUUAUUGGGUUUAAAGGGUGCGCAGGCGGCCUGUUAAGUCAGCGGUAAAAGCCCGGGGCUCAACCUCGUCGAGCCGUUGAAACUGGGUGCCUUGAGUGGGCGAGAAGUACGCGGAAUGCGUGGUGUAGCGGUGAAAUGCAUAGAUAUCACGCAGAACUCCGAUUGCGAAGGCAGCAUGCCGGCUUCCGACUGACGCUGAAGCACGAAAGCGUGGGGAUCGAACAGG